This 253-nucleotide ribosomal RNA is filed under the name uncultured bacterium. RNAcentral describes it as "partial 16S ribosomal RNA". It matches the Rfam family "Bacterial small subunit ribosomal RNA", at positions 524 to 776 of the family's 1533-position model. The record is from RNAcentral.
UACGUAGGGGGCAAGCGUUGUCCGGAAUCAUUGGGCGUAAAGCGCGUGUAGGCGGCUCGGUAAGUCCGCUCUGAAAGUCCAGGGCUCAACCCUGGGAUGCGGGUGGAUACUGCCGGGCUCGAGUCCGGAAGAGGCGAGUGGAAUUCCCGGUAUAGCGGUGAAAUGCGCAGAUAUCGGGAGGAACACCAAUGGCGAAGGCAGCUCGCUGGGACGUGACUGACGCUGAGACGCGAAAGCGUGGGGAGCAAACAGG